AGGGUAUCUUGCUGGAGAGCCCUACCUACCUGAGGCCUUCUACAGACCAGCCAAUUCUGAUGACUACUGCAGCUACUGAUGCAGCUUUCCGAUGAAUAUCACAGCUACUCUGUAGUAUUUUCAUCCAACCCAUAUUUUCCUCGUAAAUGCUUCCAAAUGGGAGCAACGGUCUAAACCAGGAAGAUGGAUAAAAGAAGAGGGAAAUGCUGCCAUUACCAACAGGCAGAAUGUGAGCAACUGGUGUUGGAGAAGCCACUGAGUGCUGCCUACAGAGUCUGGAGGAUGGCCCAAGCUUUCUGAAGCAUGUCCUGAUGAGUCCAUGACCUCACCCACCCCUUGCUAAAGUUUCUUUAGAUGCCUUCCUGGGAGGUGUGAUCUUAACUAUGGCUGUUGUAUGUAUAUGUUGUCCUUCUCAUGUCUAUUUUUUUAGAGGAGAUGAGGGAACCUUCAUCCAGACAGUAUUUUCCUCAGUCAUUUCUAACUUACUGUAGAUUAUCUAUACACAUUUUCACCUGUGAUAAAUGAUGAGAAGGACUAAAAAUCUCUCUAUAUGUUUAGCUUGAGGCUGCUUUCUGUCUGAAAGCUGGGUGAGGAAGUAUGAAGACCUAUAUCUCAGAUGCUGGAAUAGGGAAGUAACCCUCCUAUGGCCUUAGAGGAGGAAACUGUUUUGCUGCUGUCUCUUUUUUACAGUUCUCUUUACAUCCCCUUUGCAAAUCACCACAGAACCUUUUCAGCCUGUUUGGAUCUAGUGACUUUGUCUUCAGUAAACAGUGCUGCCCAAGAGGAAUAAAGAUGCAUGCCUAGCUUGGAGACUGCCCCCUAGUCUGUUAACUGGAGGAGGAAGGGGAUUGCCAGAACUUCUAUCAAGGAAGACCAGCUGCUGGCUUUCCCGUCUUGAAGAACACUGAGAUUUCUCCAAUUUGAAAUGUCACCUGGAAUCAGCCCUCUUUAAAAUAAGCAUUCUUUAUGUAUUUAACAAGCAGCAAAGUAGAGCAGGAAGCUUUAUUUUCCUUUGUAGGUUGGCAUGAAGGUCAGCACCUUCUGUAACUCCUCAACACAAUCCCAACAUUAAACCCUUCUUAGGAAAGGAGGAGACCUGAUGGAAGCCUGCACCUGGUAACAAUCAAGUCCCAAAAGAAUUCCUGAGCUUUUGGUCCCACUUUUUGAGAUGGGCAGGGGUACAUGGGGCUCUAAGAAAUCUCAAUCAUGGCUGCAGAACUUACAGCGGGGCAGAUCUAUUAGCGCAUGGCCACUGUCUGGGGAACCUCUGAAAGGAAAAGCAACUUUUAAACAUCUGUUGGCU
Meleagris gallopavo (turkey) is the source of this 1303-nucleotide non-coding RNA. The record is from RefSeq and is a predicted model, not a curated record. NCBI's taxonomy places the organism in Eukaryota, Metazoa, Chordata, Aves, Galliformes, Phasianidae.